AUACGGAGGGUGCAAGCGUUGUUCGGAAUCACGGGGCGUAAAGGGCGCGCAGGCGGUCCUGCAAGUCAGAUGUGAAAGCCCACGGCUCAACCGUGGAAGUGCAUUUGAAACUGCAGGACUUGAGUAUCAGAGGGGAAAGUGGAAUUCCCGGUGUAGAGGUGAAAUUCGUAGAUAUCGGGAGGAAUACCGGUGGCGAAGGCGACUUUCUGGCUGAAUACUGACGCUGAGGCGCGAAAGCGUGGGGAGCAAACAGGAUUAGAAACCCCAGUAGUCC
RNAcentral lists this ribosomal RNA (274 nucleotides) under uncultured bacterium. RNAcentral describes it as "partial 16S ribosomal RNA". It matches the Rfam family "Bacterial small subunit ribosomal RNA", at positions 523 to 796 of the family's 1533-position model. The record is from RNAcentral.